AUUUAUAUAGUUUAAUAAAAACAUUACACUUUCACUGUAAAAACAAAAUUCUUUAUAUUU
Molecule: transfer RNA, 60 nt
Filed under: Zeugodacus cilifer
Lineage: Eukaryota; Metazoa; Arthropoda; Insecta; Diptera; Tephritidae
Description: tRNA-Glu
Source: RNAcentral